GGACUUGAGUUGUUAGAACAAAUGGGAAAUAAACCAGACACAACUUCGAAAAAAAAAGAAAAAUCUCAUUUCUUGAUUAGAUCAACAUGACCUGUUCAUACCGCAUCCACCUGACAGAAAAUUAACAUCUCUCUGAAAGAAGAUAAUAAAAUCUACAUGAAAGGAAAUACUAACAGGAACUAGAGGGAAUUAUUCAGGCAGAAGAAAACAUUCCCAGAUGAAAGCACAGAAUGUGGAGUGCAGUGAAGAGUACCAGAUUGGGGAUCUCCAUUGACCAAAGCAAACUGAAACAAGCAACAGUCAUGGGAGUCCAGGUAACACAGUCCAUAGAGGCCAGACUUCUGAGGCUGGGCUGUUGGCAGUGACUAAAGGAAUCAUCUAGUAGUUUAAAGAAGAUAAGAAAAUGGAGACCAAAGGGAAAUGAGGACCUUCACCUUCUUGCACAGCCAUCCUGUAGGGCUAAUAAAGUGAAUGCUGGUCACUGCAAGAGUCAUGAAAAAGAGCCAUAAAAAUAAGACAAGAAAGAGAAACAUGAUCUCCCUUCCAGAGAAAAUCAAUUUUAAAACUCAUAGUUUCCAGUAAAUAUGUGCAAGCCUUGAAGAACAUAUUCAUGUAGUUGUAAAGACUAUACACACUUACACACAAAAAAUUCACUACAUAACUAUUGAAAAGAGCCUGAAUAUUCUACAGUUCAAUUCAGAAGGUAUUCAUGCAUUUCCUAUAUACACACCCUUGACUCACCUCUACUUUCGAACCCUAGCAAGACCUAGCUGAUUAUCUUAAUAUCGUGACCCCUCUAUUAUACAAUAAAGUAUUAAAAUAAUCUUUCCUUUA
Molecule: long non-coding RNA, 834 nt
Organism: Neofelis nebulosa (Clouded leopard)
Lineage: Eukaryota; Metazoa; Chordata; Mammalia; Carnivora; Felidae
Exons: 4
Source: RefSeq, a predicted model, not a curated record